CGGAGGGUGCAAGCGUUAUCCGGAAUCACUGGGUUUAAAGGGUGCGUAGGCGGUGGCGUAAGUCAGUUGUGAAAUUCCCCGGCUUAACCGGCGGGACUGCGAUUGAUACUGCGUCACUUGAAUCAGGAUGAGGUAGGCGGAAUGUGACAUGUAGCGGUGAAAUGCUUAGAUAUGUCAUAGAACACCGAUUGCGAAGGCAGCUUGCUGGACCUGUAUUGACGCUGAGGCACGAAAGCGUGGGAGCAAACAGGAUU
This 254-nucleotide ribosomal RNA is filed under the name uncultured bacterium. RNAcentral's name for it is "partial 16S ribosomal RNA". It matches the Rfam family "Bacterial small subunit ribosomal RNA", at positions 526 to 779 of the family's 1533-position model. The record is from RNAcentral.